AACUAAUACUCACCGAGACAAUUCUAAAAACCCCUAACACAAUUAGGUUGCGUUGUUUCAUCACAGAGUUCCUAUGGCCACCUCCUGUCUCCAUCAUCAGAUCAGCUCGAUGGUACCAUAAUAUUGCAUUGUCACCCGACUUACAUGUGUUGCGUUGUUUCAUCACAGAGUUCCUAUGGCCACCUCCUGUCUCCAUCAUCAGAUCAGCUCGAUGGUGCCAUAAUAUUGCAUUGUCACCCGACUUACAUGUGUUGCGUUGUUUCAUCACAGAGUUCCUAUGGCCACAUCCUGUCUCCAUCAUCAGAUCAGCUCUAUGGUACCAUAAUAUUGCAUUGUCACCCGA
Molecule: long non-coding RNA, 343 nt
Organism: Cydia amplana
Lineage: Eukaryota; Metazoa; Arthropoda; Insecta; Lepidoptera; Tortricidae
Exons: 3
Source: RefSeq, a predicted model, not a curated record